Long non-coding RNA from Anarrhichthys ocellatus (wolf-eel), 3624 nucleotides. RefSeq lists it as uncharacterized. NCBI's taxonomy places the organism in Eukaryota, Metazoa, Chordata, Actinopteri, Perciformes, Anarhichadidae. The record is from RefSeq and is a predicted model, not a curated record. The transcript has 3 exons.
UGCGGGACAACGCCGACCUUCGAGGUGAGCUGCCUAAACUGGAGAAGCGCCUGCGGGCCACCGCUGAGCGGGUCAAAGCCCUGGAGGCGGCACUGAGGGAGGCCAAAGAGAACGCAGCCAUCGACCGAAAGCGCUACCAGCAGGAGAUGGAGCGCAUUAAGGACGCUGCCAAGCCCAAAAACAUGGGCAGGAGAGCGUCCAUAGCUAAGCCCAUCAGACCAGGCCAGUUGCCGGGAGCCUCUCCCAUUAACACCAGUGUCAACAGGUCCAACCUCAUCCAGAACAACCAGCCUGCCGGCAUCAAGGGAGGAGGCUGCAAUAGGAACAUGCAUCAAUGUGACGAGAUGUCAGAAUGAUGGGUCGCCGCAGCACAACACCUUUUGGGGUUCUCUGCCUUGCUCGAGGGCAUCUCGGCAGUGACCAAGAGGUGAACUGGCACCUCUCCAGACCCCGGUCCACACUCCUGGUACCUGGUCCGUGUCGGACUUGAACCACUACCCUUCGGUUCCCAAGCUACUGCUGUCCAAGACUUCCAAAAAGACAACAUGUAAAUUGCUUUGCAUUCCUUUUCUUUUCUGGUUUCCCUUAAAGGUGCUGAGGACGAAGCACAGUCACCCAAACAACAGGCCAAAGCUCCAGACUCAGAAGUUUCAUUGAAAAAUAUUGAACUUUUAUCUGGAAACCCUGCACCAGUCUUCCAACAUCAAAGUGUGUAUAUACUGUAUAUAAGUAUGCCAUGUACUGUGUAGCCUUUCAAGCCUAUGGCUCUACAAGAAACCAAACCACAUAAGUGCAUCGUAAAAUCAACACAUAAUGUGUGAUGUUGCUCUGAUGAUAGCAACUUACUAAGUUAUGAGGCCAAAGUGUCAGACCUUGAUGUAUCCCUAAACAUAAGAAGACACUACUGUCGUGGUGUACAGUAAAGGGAGAGCACUGUCCCUUAUUCUCUAUGCUUUGCUUGUAAGGAUUCUCCUUUUAGGGGAUUCCUUUGGUUUUAGCACAAUUGUUUUUUCAUCCAUCCAUUUAUGCCUGCAUUUACUAUCCACUAAUCUGGGGACGGGUCGCAAGGGCAACAGGCUUAGGAGGGAAUUCCAGAUGUCCCUUGCCCCAGCGACGCUUUCCAGCUCUUCCUGGGGAACCACAAGGCGUUCCCGGGCCAGAAGAGCUAUAUAAUUCCUCCAGCGUGUUCUGGGUCUACCAUGGUGCCUCUUACCAGUUGGACGUGCCAUAAAAACCUCCAAAAGGAGGUGUCCAGGAAACACCCUGAUCAGAGCAGCGGUUCUACUCCGAGCUCCCUCCGGAUGUCUGAGCACCUCACCCUAUCUUUAAGGCUGAGCCCAGCCGCCCUACGAAGGAAGCUCAUUUGGGCUUGUAUCCGCAAUCACAUUCUACCGGUCACUACCCAAAGCUCAUGACCAUAGGUGAAGGUCAGAACGUACAUGAACUGGUAAAUCGGGCGCUUUGCCUUCCUCCUCAGCUCCCUCUUCAUCUUACGGGCCAGUACAAUGCCUGCAUCAUGCCACACCGCACCACCUGUCCAUCUCACACUCCAUUUUACCAAUACUCAGGAACCCUCCAUGAGGUCCCCAAAUUGGACACCCCCCAGAAAUCCUGUCCAUGAAAAUCCCAAACAGAACAAGUGAUAACCCUGGUGGAGGCAAGCACACACUGGAACUGUGUUUGACUUUGUGCCGAGUAUACGAACACAGCUGUCACUUUGGUCAUACAAGGACCGGAGGGUUUGUAGCAACAUCUCCGGGUGCCCCGUAUUCUCAAAGUACCCCUCACAGGAUUCCCUACGGACAAGGUCAUAAGCCUUCUUCAAGUCCACAGAACACUUGUAGACUGGAUGGGCAAACUGCGAUGACCCCUCCAACAGCCCUGCAACGGUAAAGAGCUGGUCCACUGUUCCACAGCCAGGACGGAGUCCGCAUUGCUCUUCCUGGAUCUGAGGUUUGACAAUUGUGAUUAUUUAAGGACACUCUCUGGUCCCCUUUUUUAUAAAUGGGAACCACCACCCUAAACUGCCAUGCCACAGGUACUGUCCCCGACCGCCAAGCAGCACAGAAGAGGUGUGUCAGCUUAGACAGCCCAACAAUGUCCAGAGCCUUCAGUAUCUCAGAGCAAAUCUCUGUCCUGGCACCGAUGAUAUUCUCACCAAAACUUCGAGCAGCAGCUUCCACAAUGGAGGCUUUGAACAUGGCCCACUCAGAAUCCAUGUCACCUGCCUCCCUCGGGAUGCACAAACAUUUCUAAAGAUCCUGUGGACAGGAGCCUUAGCCGUUCCCAGUUCACCCCCACUAGAAAUGUGGGUUUACUAGGUCUGUCCAAGAGCCUCCCCUGGCACCUUAUCCAACUCAGCAACAGUUGGUGACCAGUUCACAGCUCUGUUACUCUCUUCCCCCGAGUGUCCAAGACAUACAGCAGCAGAUCUGAUGAUUCGACCACAAAGUUGAUAAUCGAUCUUUGGCUGAGGCUGUUCUGAUACCAAGUAAACCAUGAACAGCCCUAUGCCGAACUGCUGUUUGGUACAUAAUCACAAACAAGUAUCAGCACUUCUAGGUCCCCGCCUUUGCUUGCCGUCCAGCUCACAAUGCACUCAACCGCAAUGCCUACCCCUGCGAGUGGUGGGCCCACAGGGAGGCGGCUCCAUGUAGUUUUUUUGGGCUGGUGGCCUGGCCGAGCUCCAUGCGAAUAGGUCCGGGCCACCAGCCGCUUGCCGGCGAGCUCCCCUCACAGGUCUGGCUCCAGAAGGGGGCACCGGUUUCCCUUUUCCGGACGAGGUGCGACAACUUUUUUCUGGCCAAUUCAUAUCAGAUCAGGGAAUCGCUCUUGGUUUGGCCCCCUCCCCUGGGACCUUUGCUUUGGGAAAGCUUACCAGAAGAUAUUUCCCUAAACAACACAGCUCCCAGGGUCACAAACCCCUCCACUACGAUAAGGUAGCGAUUCUUUGUUUUUUUAACUGUGCUUAUCAUAAACACCAGAAACCCUUCUGCCUAUACCUCAUUGUUAUGCGCAGAUUACUGUAAUAAACUGAUUUAGACGUUCAAAAGCGUAUUCAACCACAUAUUGGUACAAAAUGAUGCUUCAGUUUAGUCGAGUAAGAACUGAGCGACACAAUAUUUUAUCUGAACAACUCACUUCUGUACACCUGUAAAGCAAGUGAUGCAUGCUCUGCCUUAUUUUUUGACGAAUUGGCUUUCCGUAUCUCUAAAAGCCUUUACCUCCACAUCUUGUCUCUUGGCUCAGGGCAGGAAGAGCACUGGGACUGGGUAGAUACAAAUGUAAUUCAUGCCUGAUAGCUGCAGGCAAGAGUCCACUUAUGAUCACUUUGUUUGGAAAGCAUUAAUUAUGUUUUGUUUUUAAUGUAGCUAAUGUAUCCAGUAGGAAAGUGGAUGAUUGAUACUUAGCCUGUAACACUCCUGACAAGUGCAGUGGCAUCCUAAUGACAUCCAUACAGCCCUGUGUUGCAUAAGAACAAUAAAUUACCUUUGAGUCCUUGAAUCCUUGAAUCGUAUUAUUGCACAGAAUGUAAAGUUAAAGCUUUCAAAUAAAAAAUUACUGAACCGAAAACUUCUGAAUUAACCAUUUGUCCCCUUGAACUAAAGGCACCAUUAAAUGUUU